GCCAGGUGUGGUGAUGCAUGCCUGUAAUCCUAGCUACUCAGGAGGCUGAGGCAGGAGAAUCGCUUGAACCCAGGAGGUGGAGAUUGCAGUGAGCCAAGAUCACACCACUGCACUCCCGCCUGGGUGACAGAGUGAGAUCCCAUCUCAA
RNAcentral lists this non-coding RNA (148 nucleotides) under Nomascus leucogenys (northern white-cheeked gibbon). The record is from Rfam by way of RNAcentral. Lineage: Eukaryota; Metazoa; Chordata; Mammalia; Primates; Hylobatidae.